CUGGCAAGCUACAUUCUACUAGAACAAAGAACAUCAUGAUAAUUUUAGACAGAAUUCGAAGAACCAUAUAGUUGUUGCGAAACAUCAGGUGAUAACUGGUCAUUAGUUUGAUUGGGAACAUGUUUUGGUUUGACACCAUGAGCUUAAUGAGUUUAAAAGACUUUUAGCUGAAAUGUUCUUUAUUAAGAGAGAAGAACUAAUUCGAGAUGAGAUUGUUAAAAUCAUGAUUUAAUAAUUAACAUCGCUGACUUUUUCCUUUAUAAAUAUAAGGACUUAUAUUUUUGACCCUGGAUUGAUGUCUUUCCUGAUGAGGAGAGCAAUUGACUCUAGAAACGUCGGCAAUUAAAAUGGAAUAAAGGAUCUUCUCAACAUCAUGGUCUUUUACUCAGUCUCAAUUUGCAGAAAGGACAUUGUAAGCCUUCAGACGAUUUGAACGAGCUACCGGGACCUUUAACUAUAUCUAGCUGAGUUUCUGCGGAGAAUUUCUCAGAGCUUCUCAGAGCAUCCAAGACUCAGAAAAAAAUGGCUGUGGGCCUGUGUUAUUUAUGUUUUUUUUU
This is a long non-coding RNA of Belonocnema kinseyi, 557 nucleotides long. RefSeq lists it as uncharacterized. The transcript is spliced from 3 exons. The record is from RefSeq and is a predicted model, not a curated record. NCBI's taxonomy places the organism in Eukaryota, Metazoa, Arthropoda, Insecta, Hymenoptera, Cynipidae.